UUUGUUAACAGUUCUAAAAAAAAAUUUCUUUUCUUUUGUUUUCUUUCUACAGGUGCGUCUCCGGCGAGGACUCUGGCUAGUCUCUGCCACUGAUCGCCGCCAGCCACACGGCCAGUGGAUGGCAGUAGAGCAGGUGGGGUGGCAGACGAUGGUUGAAGGCAGAAGGCCCUAGGUGCGGCGCACUUAGGGUUUGAAAUUUCUGAUUUUUCUUUUCUUUUCUCUCUUUUUUGUGUUGUUUGGGCUAGGGUUAAUUUUUGGGCUUGGGCAAGAAUUGGGCUGUACAAUAGGUAUAUAUAUAUUGGCAUUAGUCAUGUAGAAAAAGUAAAUUGUAUUUGUAAGUGUGAGUCCUCUAAUAGACUUAUUUGAAAACUUUGAUAA
This is a long non-coding RNA of Gossypium arboreum, 378 nucleotides long. RefSeq lists it as uncharacterized. The record is from RefSeq and is a predicted model, not a curated record. The transcript is spliced from 2 exons. Lineage: Eukaryota; Viridiplantae; Streptophyta; Magnoliopsida; Malvales; Malvaceae.